GGCUGCGUGUGGAUUUUCUGCUUCUUGUUGAUUGUUACCACGACUGUGGCACAUGGAUAUGGUGGUAGGAGAUAUAAUUGUGCACGGCGCGAUAGUGAAAGGUGGAGGGGACUAUAGAGGUGAUGGUGAGGGCCAAUGAAGUGUUGACGUGUCACAGGUUGUUGUGAAGCGUUGAAAUGUUGAACGUGAAAUAUUUAAGUACUGAAAGAUGUGUGGUGGUAAUGGCGAUGGUGAUGACGGUUGUGGUGAUGGCGGGGUUGUUGGUGACGAUGUGGUAGUGGUGGUGAAUGACAAGCGGGCGAGGCUCGUAGUUUACACAAUAGGCACGUGAGCCGGUCCGCCUCCUGCCUUCUGUGCUUGCGGGUCGUAGUGGUGCCGCUCCAUCCAAGGCAACGUUUCCUUGGCUAGGACAGCCACUCCUGCGGUGCCUUCCACACAAUGAGGGAGAGAUGAGUGAGUGACAGGCUCGCAGAUCGCUCAGUUUGUCCGGAUUGUCUUGAGUGGUGUGUCUCGCUCGGGGCAGACUGACAGGAGACCACACACAGGUGGCAGGACGUGAGGUGCUCCUGGAAGACAGCAGGGACAGCCCGGCAGGAGGAGAUUUCUUCAUCACACAGACAAAGAUAUCCGCUGGACUCUAGCCGCUACUACUGCUGCUGCUGCUGGUGGUGGUGAUGGUGAUUGUGCUGCUACCGCCGCUCCUACUCUUACUCCCACUCUCACUCAUAUGAUCUUAUUGCUAUUGCUAUUCCAACUACUACUGAAGAGAAACGCGGAGACGGAAGGUUUGAGUGCUAGAGGACUUACUGCUGUCAUCAUAACAUGUUUGUUCAGGUUAAGUACGAGUAGAUGGAUGUCUCAAUUUCUUCUCUGCCUCCGUCCUCAUCUUCCGCUUUCGUCCUAAUUACCGUAUUUUCAGUUCUUAUCCAAUAAAAUAUUUUAUCACAAAUAUCCUCGUGAAGGUAUAUUGCUAUGCUGAUAUCUCCUAUUCUUUUGUACAACUUUGUGUCCUCCUUCCUCGCCCUCCUUUUUCUCUUCCGGCUCCUCUUUCCUCCUCCCCUUCCUCUUCUUCCUGGGAUUGAUGGACUAUGACCUGAUAUGUUCCCGAGUAAGUCAGUAUCCCAUAAGCAGUAACUCAUAUUUCUGCUCCAUCUUUUCUGAUCAGUAAUUCGCAGAAAAGUCCGAUUCGUAUGUUAAAAGAUUCAGUUAUCGAUGUAUAUUGCAUUUACGUUACUACUAGUUUACUUAUAUUUUUCAUGCACUUUACAUUUACAUCAUGUAUCAUCAGGAAGAAUAGAGAUGUGCAUUCAUUGUUCAAUACAGUAAUACUACAAUAAUUUGGUUAUGAAAUAUUGGGGAUGGGUUGAUUUUUAAUAA
Scylla paramamosain (green mud crab) is the source of this 1377-nucleotide long non-coding RNA. RefSeq lists it as uncharacterized. The transcript has 5 exons. The record is from RefSeq and is a predicted model, not a curated record. Lineage: Eukaryota; Metazoa; Arthropoda; Malacostraca; Decapoda; Portunidae.